Molecule: unclassified non-coding RNA, 283 nt
Filed under: fungal sp.
Lineage: Eukaryota; Fungi
Description: partial internal transcribed spacer region
Rfam family: Eukaryotic small subunit ribosomal RNA (bases 1-46)
Source: RNAcentral
AAGUCGUAACAAGGUUUCCGUAGGUGAACCUGCGGAAGGAUCAUUAAUAAAAGGCCGAUUAGGUUUUUAAACAUAAUCAACACCUUUUGUGCACUGUAUUCUAACAACAUCUUUCCGGCUACUUGCGUUUUGAUGGGGACUUUUGUCCCUGUCUAUAAUGCUAGCCGGGAAGUGUUACUUCAAAACCCUUUGAUAACUUAACUUUGUCUAAUACUAUCUGACUUAAAAAAUCAGAAACCAUAUUAACAAAAUACAACUUUCAACAAUGGAUCUCUUGGCUCUC